AGUGGGGAAUAUUGCACAAUGGGGGAAACCCUGAUGAAGCAAUGCCGCGUGUGUGAAGAAGGCCUUAGGGUUGUAAAGCACUUUCAGUGGGGAAGAAGGCGUCAUGUUUAAUCUGCAUGUCAUUGACGUUACCCUAUCAAAAAGCACCGGCUAACUACGUGCCAGCAGCAGC
RNAcentral lists this ribosomal RNA (172 nucleotides) under uncultured bacterium. Its description in RNAcentral is "partial 16S ribosomal RNA". It matches the Rfam family "Bacterial small subunit ribosomal RNA", at positions 353 to 518 of the family's 1533-position model. The record is from RNAcentral.